Molecule: ribosomal RNA, 348 nt
Filed under: Triticum aestivum (bread wheat)
Lineage: Eukaryota; Viridiplantae; Streptophyta; Magnoliopsida; Poales; Poaceae
Description: partial small subunit ribosomal RNA
Source: RNAcentral
AUGUCAGUUUCGUUAUUACAACUUUAUUUUUUUAUGUCAAAGACAAAAAGCUACACGCAAAUUCUCAUUGGAUCUCGGUUCUUCUUAACAGAGAUGGCUAUUCAUUUAAGUCUUCGGGUAGCACCACCAAAUCUUCAACAAGGUGGAAAUUCUCGUAUUUCAUAUGUACAUGUUACUGCGGCUCAGAUGAGUAUAGUUAUUUAUAUCGCGAUAGCUAUAAACAGUUCCUUGUUCCCAUUAACAAAACAUCCCCUUUUUCUUCGCUCUUCCGGAACCGGUAUAGAAGUUAGUGCUUUUUCUACUUUGUUUACGUUAGUGACUGGGGGGUUUUGGGGAAGGCCUAUGUAG